Molecule: unclassified non-coding RNA, 312 nt
Filed under: Tamarix usneoides
Lineage: Eukaryota; Viridiplantae; Streptophyta; Magnoliopsida; Caryophyllales; Tamaricaceae
Description: trnH-psbA intergenic spacer
Source: RNAcentral
GAUUUUUUUCUUAGUGUAUACGAGUCUUUAAAAAGAAAGGAGCAAUAUCAAUCCUCUUGAUAAAAAAAGAGAUUGGUUAUUGCUCCUUUAAUACUAAUUAAUAUUAAUUAAUACUAAUUGAAUAGUAAUUUUGCUUACAUAAGCAUAAGUUUUUUUUUACUUCAAUUUCAUAAAAAAAUCUUAUGAAUUUAUGAUUAUGUAUUCUUUUUUACGUUUUUUAAUUUGAAUUAUAAUAUCUAGGCUCUGAACAAUUCUUUUUAUUAAUAUUUAAUAUCUAAAUAUUUAAUAUCUAAAAAAGUAAAUCUUAGAGGG